This 301-nucleotide ribosomal RNA is filed under the name uncultured bacterium. RNAcentral's name for it is "partial 16S ribosomal RNA". It matches the Rfam family "Bacterial small subunit ribosomal RNA", at positions 509 to 808 of the family's 1533-position model. The record is from RNAcentral.
CAGCAGCCGCGGUAAUACGUAGGUCCCGAGCGUUGUCCGGAUUUAUUGGGCGUAAAGCGAGCGCAGGCGGUUAGAUAAGUCUGAAGUUAAAGGCUGUGGCUUAACCAUAGUACGCUUUGGAAACUGUUUAGCUUGAGUGCAAGAGGGGAGAGUGGAAUUCCAUGUGUAGUGGUGAAAUGCGUAGAUAUAUGGAGGAACACCGGUGGCGAAAGCGGCUCUCUGGCUUGUAACUGACGCUGAGGCUCGAAAGCGUGGGGAGCAAACAGGAUUAGAUACCCGAGUAGUCCCUGUCUCUUAUACA